Long non-coding RNA from Clupea harengus (Atlantic herring), 2317 nucleotides. NCBI's taxonomy places the organism in Eukaryota, Metazoa, Chordata, Actinopteri, Clupeiformes, Clupeidae. The record is from Ensembl.
GUGUCGUGUCGUGUCGUGUCGUGUCGUGUCGUGUCGUGUCGUGUCGUGUCGUGUCGUGUCGUGUCGUGUCGUGUCGUGUCGUGUUCCUCCUCACCUGUUUGACGGCCAUGAGCGUGCCCGUGCCCACGUCCUGAGCCUGGUAGCAGGAGGAGAACGCGCCCAGGCCGAUCUGCUGGCCCUUCAGCCACUCGUGCCCUUCCGGUAGGGCUGCUUUGCUUUGGUAAGCCCAGGCAGCGUCUCGGGCGUCUAGAGGGAAAAAACCGCGAAAGGGGUUAAUGGGUUACAGGAAAGGGUUUAUUUAGAGUUUAGUUACAUAAACCUGAUGUCGACAGACAGAAGACAAUGGAGGUGCUGAAGAAGUGAGAAGGAGAUUAUCGUCAAGUUAAAUAUUAAGCUAAAUAAGGUUUACUCUGAACACACUGAAGAAAGAAAUAGUAUUGUGGUUUUAUGUAAUGUACGUACAUAUCUACAUAUCUAACAUGUACAUGUCUACAUAUCAGUGCAACUCAUUGGAAAACCAUUAGCAUCAGACUGGUGAGCGGAACUUACAUCCACCUGGAUGAUGAUGACAUCCUCUCCCUUGUCCACCUGCAGCUGGGGGAUGAUGGGAAGGGCGUCCUGCGACUCCGACAUUGCCAUGACGAUGGCCAGCGCCUCCUCUUCCUCUGCCUCCAUCUUCUCCUUGCACUUCUGGUGCUGGGUCACGUCGUCCGUGUAGGUGCCCCGGGUGGUGGUGCUGCCGCCACUGCUGCUGCUGGCGCUAGAGUCGCCCGCGGUGCCCCCCUGCUCGCCCGGGGACAGCACGGCCACCUCGGACUGGAAGGUGACGGUGCCCUCGCCAGCGCUGGGCAUGAUGGUGCCCUCCAGCAGAUCCUCCAUGCUGGAGUUGAGCUCGGCGGAGGCGUCCAGCCCGCGGAACUUGUCCUCCACCGGCGUGAAGACCGUGUCCUCGCUGGGGAUGAGCGUGGCGGCACCCGAGGGGCUGGAGGAGGACUCGGCGGCUCCAGAGCACGUGGCGGCGGCGGCAGCGGCGGCGGCCGCCAACGAGGAGUCCUGCAGGUCCAGCCUCAUGCCGCCUUUGCCCGCCAGAGGGCAGACGUGCUUGCUGCCGCCGGCCUCUGAGGGAGCCGGCCGAGAGGGCUUUGGUCUGUGGAUCUGGCUGGAGGGCAGGGGGCGCGACUGGGUGAACACGGCCGACGGGUCUUUCUCUGGGUCUUUACAGUUGGCGCCACCGCUGCUGCUGCUGCUGCCGCCACCACCACCACACGCUACUGGUGCCUUCUGCAGCGGGUACUUGCGCUGGGCACCGGGUGAGGCGCCGGCUGCUAGCUUGCUGGGCACAAAGCCUGGCGGGCCUCGGUGGGCAGUCUUGGGGCUCGAGGCGUCUGUGGGGAAGGCGGGCGUGCGAGGGGCAGAGGGGGAGGAGAGGAGCGGGGGAGGCUGAGGCUGAGGAUGAGACUGAGGCUGGGUGGAGGGAGACGGGGAGUUGAGACACUGGUUCUGCAGCCGACCUCUGGCCUGCACGGGGGGCUUUGGGUACUCCGCCGGGGGGCCUCCUGCCGACACGGCCGCCAGCCGCUCCGCCAGCACCUCCUCUUGGCCCGCCGCGGCUCCGGAGAGCUUAGCUGCACCUCCCUGCUGCUGCUGCUGCUGCUGCUGCUGCUGCUGCUGCUGCUGCUGCUGCUGCUGCGCCCGUCCUCUGUGCUUCCCGGUGCACAGCUGCACCGUGUGGGCGGGCGAGUUGCACUCCGUCACAUUCGGCGAGUUGUGCGGGGCGGCCGGGCCGUCGGCGUAGUGCGAUCCGCAUCCUGCCGCCGAGGCGGCGCCAAUCCCGCACGCGCCUCCUCCUCCUCCUCCUCCUCCUCCUCCUCCUCCUCCGCUCUCGGCCACAUGCAGCUCCUCCAGCCCCAGGUGGAUGGCGUCCAGGAUGUCCAUCUCCUCGGCGAUGGCCAGCAGGCGGCGGCGCAUGCGGGCGUAGUGGGUGGAGCUGGUGGCGCUGAGCAUGUCCAGGAGCUUGAGGAAGACGUGGGGCACGCGGGCCACCAUGCGGGCGGCGCUCAGGAAGACGCGGCGGGACAGCUUGCCCACCAUGGAGUGGGAGUUGUCGAUGGACUGCAGCGCGAAGCUCAGCAGCGGGAGCAGCUUCUGGUAUCUGCUUCGGGGAAGGAGGGCCGGAGUCGUCAACCAAACAAUCCUAUUCACGUUCGUGUUUAUAACAGCUGAUAUGUUAACACUAUUCACGUGCGUGUUUAAAACAGGUGAUAUUUUAACACUAUUCACGUUCGUGUUUAUAACAGCUGAUAUUUUAACACUAUUC